Long non-coding RNA from Corvus hawaiiensis (hawaiian crow), 1661 nucleotides. RefSeq lists it as uncharacterized. NCBI's taxonomy places the organism in Eukaryota, Metazoa, Chordata, Aves, Passeriformes, Corvidae. The record is from RefSeq and is a predicted model, not a curated record. The transcript is spliced from 4 exons.
AUGGAUGAAACCCACCAAAACUUGGCUUGAACCCACCAAAACUUGGCCUAAAGCCACCCAAAAUCGCUCCAAACCCAACAGAAUGGUCUUGAACCCACCAAAAAUUGGCUUAAAACCACCAAAAAUGGAUGAAACCCAAGAAAAAGGUCUUGAAACCAUCAAAAAUUGGUUUGAAACCACGAAAAAUUGGUGUAACUCAACAGAAAGGGCUUAAAACCACCAAAAAUGGGCUUAAAACCACCAAAAAUGGAUGAAACCCACCAAAACUUGGCUUGAACCCACCCAAACUUGGCCUAAACCCACCCAAAAUCGCUCCAAACCCAACAGAAAGGUCCUGAACCCACCCAAAAUAGGCUUAAAACCACCAAAAAUGGCUCUAAACCCAACAGAACGGUCUUGAAACCACCAAAAAUGGAUGAAACCCAAGAGAAAGGUCUUGAAACCACCAAAAAUUGGUUUGAAACCACCAAAAAUCGGUGUAAACCCAACAGAAAGGUCUUGAAACCACCAAAAAUCGCCUUGAACCCACCCAAACUUGGCCUAAAGCCACCCAAAAUCGCUCCAAACCCAACAGAAAGGUCCUGAACCCACCCAAAAUUGGCUUAAAACCACCAAAAAUGGAUGAAACCCAAGAGAAAGGUCUUGAAACCAUCAAAAAUUGCCUUGAAACCACCAAAAAUGGAUGAAACCCACCAAAACUUGGCUUGAACCCACCAAAACUUGGCCUAAACCCAUCCAAAAUUGCUCUAAACCCAACAGAAAGGUCUUGAAACCACCCAAAAUUGGCUUAAAACCACCAAAAAUGGCUCCAAACCCAACAGAACGGUCUUGAAACCACCAAAAAUUGGUUUGAAACCACCAAAAAUCGGUGUAAACUCAACAGAAAGGUCUUGAAACCACCAAAAAUCGCCUUGAACCCACCCAAACUUGGCCUAAACCCACCCAAAAUCGCUCCAAACCCAACAGAAAGGUCUUGAAACCACCAAAACUUGGCUUGAACCCACCCAAACUUGGCCUAAAGCCACCCAAAAUCGCUCCAAACCCAACAGAAAGGUCCUGAACCCACCCAAAAUUGGCUUAAAACCACGAAAAAUGGAUGAAACCCAAGAGAAAGGUCUUGAAACCAUCAAAAAUUGCCUUGAAACCACCAAAAAUGGAUGAAACCCACCAAAACUUGGCUUGAACCCACCCAAACUUGGCCUAAACCCAUCCAAAAUUGCUCUAAACCCAACAGAAAGGUCUUGAACCCACCCAAAAUUGGCUUAAAACCACCAAAAAUGGCUCCAAACCCAACAGAACGGUCUUGAAACCACCAAAAAUUGGUUUGAAACCACCAAAAAUCGGUGUAAACUCAACAGAAAGGUCUUGAAACCACCAAAACUUGGCUUGAACCCACCCAAACUUGGCCUAAACCCACCCAAAAUCGCUCCAAACCCAACAGAAAGGUCUUGAAACCACCCAAAAUUGGCUUAAAACCACCAAAAAUGGCUCUAAACCCAACAGAAAUUCUUGAAACCAUCAAAAAUUGCCUUGAAACGCCCCAAAAAUGGAUGAAACCCACCAAAACUUGGCUUGAACCCACCAAAACUUGGCCUAAACCCACCCAAAAUCGCUCCAAACCCAACAGAAAGGUCCUGAACCCACCCAAAAUUGGCUUAAAA